This 1445-nucleotide ribosomal RNA is filed under the name human gut metagenome. RNAcentral describes it as "bacterial LSU rRNA". It matches the Rfam family "Bacterial large subunit ribosomal RNA", at positions 1101 to 2568 of the family's 2925-position model. The record is from RNAcentral.
UUGGCUUGGAAGCAGCCAUUCAUUUAAAGAGUGCGUAACAGCUCACUAGUCGAGCGAUCUGGCGUGGAUAAUAAUCGGGCAUAAACGAUCUGCCGAAGCCGUGGAUGUCGUAAGACAUGGUAGGGGAGCAUUCCAUGCGGCGUCGAAGAUGAGGGAUGACCCUUGUUGGAGCGCAUGGAAAAGCAAAUGUAGGUAUGAGUAACGAUAAGGGGGGCGAGAAACCCCCCCGCCGAAAGACCAAGGUUUCCUGAUCAACGCUAAUCGGAUCAGGGUGAGUCGGGACCUAAGGCAAAGCCGAACGGCGCCGCCGAUGGAAGAAUGGGUUAAUAUUCCCAUACUGCCUCAUGGAGUGACGUGGAGACGGAGAAGUGACAGUCCUGCCGGCUGACGGAAUAGCCGGUUGAAGGGUGUAGGAGUCGAUCAUGGUAGGCAAAUCCGCCGUGAGAUCCGAACCUGACAGUAUACUGAGCGCUUGCGCGACGUAAUAUGGACGUAACCAUGCUCCCAAGAAAAUCCGCUAAACUUAUCCAUGCGGCACCCGUACCGUAAACGGACACACGUGGUCGGGUUGAGAAUACUGAGGCGCUCGAGUGACUCACGGUUAAGGAACUAGGCAAAUUGACCCUGUAACUUCGGGAUAAAGGGUCCUCGUCGUAAGGCGAGGCGCAGAGAAUAGGUCCAGGCAACUGUUUAACAAAAACACAUGGCUGUGCUAAAUGGAAACAUGACGUAUACAGCCUGACACCUGCCCGGUGCUGGAAGGUUAAGAGGAGAUGUCAUCGCAAGAGAAGCAUUGAAUUGAAGCCCCAGUAAACGGCGGCCGUAACUAUAACGGUCCUAAGGUAGCGAAAUUCCUUGUCGGGUAAGUUCCGACCUGCACGAAUGGUGUAAUGAUCUGGACGCUGUCUCAACCGUGAGCUCAGUGAAAUUGUAGUAUCGGUGAAGAUGCCGAUUACCCGCGAUGGGACGAAAAGACCCCGUGAACCUUUACUAUAGCUUUACAUUGAAUUUGGGCAGACGAUGUGUAGGAUAGGCCGGAGGCUUUGAAGGGGGUACGCCAGUAUCCUUGGAGCCGCUGUUGAAAUACGACCCUUCAUUUGUUUGGAUUCUAACCCGUGUAUAUGGGGACACUGAUUGGUGGGUAGUUUGACUGGGGUGGUCGCCUCCAAAAGCGUAACGGAGGCUUCUAAAGGUGCCCUCAGACCGAUUGGUAACCGGUCGUAGAGUGUAAUGGCAUAAGGGCGCUUGACUGGGAGAGAUACAACUCGAUCAGGUAGGAAACUAGAGCAUAGUGAUCCGGUGGUUCCGCAUGGAAGGGCCAUCGCUCAAAGGAUAAAAGGUACUCCGGGGAUAACAGGCUGAUCAUUCCCAAGAGCUCAUAUCGACGGAAUGGUUUGGCACCUCGAUGUCGGCUCGUCACAUCCUGGGGCUGGAGAAGGUCCCAA